Molecule: unclassified non-coding RNA, 713 nt
Filed under: Cimex lectularius (bed bug)
Lineage: Eukaryota; Metazoa; Arthropoda; Insecta; Hemiptera; Cimicidae
Description: uncharacterized LOC112126613, transcript variant X1
Source: RNAcentral
AUAAAUUGUUCUGACAAUUUUUUUAUUACUUAUAUUACUACACUUAAAAAACAUCGUUAACCGUUUUACAUAUUAAAGAUCAAAUCUUUGAAAAUCAUUUUGUUCUAAUCAGGGCACCACAAAUUUAGGAUAUCCUAAUUCUACCAUAGUUGUCGGUUUUUUGUGACCUCACCUCCUAACGCUCUUGCCGUUCGUUUCCUACAGACAAACCUUACUAUCCUUGAGAGAGUAUUGACAGAAAUAAUAAAUGAUGGAGAUGAAGUGAAAUGGCGAAGCAAGUAUGAAAAUUGAAGAUAUGAAGUCGCAAAUGAUGAAGAAGCCACAUAUGAUGAAGAAGCACGGAUGAUGAAAAAUUCACAGAUGAUGAAGAAAACCAGACGAAACUACGACGAAGAAGAAAAAAAGAUGAGAUGAAGAUCAAAAGAAAAUACAGCCUGGUGACGUUACGGUAUAAACAGUAGAUUCCCCGAUCUUUUCGGCGGUGGUCCCUGAUGAUAUAGGGAUCGACGAUGGGACGUGACGAAAUCGAUAUAGCAAUCGAUAGGCCGAUGUACGAGAAAUAGAUGUUCUAUAUUACAAAGUUGCUCAAAGACUGCUUCUCGACGUCUAAUUCUGGAUCAAGGGUCCGCGAUAACGGCUAAUCCAUUUUUGUUUUGUCCACUUAAUCCGUUAUGGAUCGCGUAAUCAACAAUUAUUUGAACAAAUUAAAGAUU